CUCCGGUAGCAUGAAAUACAUCUUUUCAUUUCCAUAUAAACAUGGUCAUUUCUUCUAAUCGAGAGACUACUGGCAAAACUUCUGUGCCCAUAGAGACUGGAGGAGCCAACUUUUCAGUUUUGCUAUGUACUCUGCUCUUCUGGCCUUGCAACAUCAGGGAGCAAAGCUCCACACCAGCUGCACAGGUAUGCAGCUUCAGAGGCAGUCAGCAUUCACAGAGCAUAGCAAAGAAACCACACUCAAGUGUUCUCAUUGGUAUUUCUACAUUUACAUACAAAAUUACUCACAGUACUAAAUACUCUGAGAGAGGAAAAAAGAAGUAUUUGGGCUUUGAUUACUCUCCCUGCAUUUCUCUGACCCAACUAGAAGAAAGCCAGCUGAGCAACUUGCUCCUGCUAGACAUACUCUUUUUUCCUGUUAGUCUCCUGUUGCAGCUGACAGUAUCUCUACAUUAAUGAAUACCAGAGGAUUGGCCUAAAAAUUGGAGCACGCUGCAGCCCGAGUUGUUGGCUGUGUUCCCUCUGCAUUCCAAUACGAUGCAGUAAAUUAUCAUUGCAGAGAGAAGGCUGGAAGAAACCCGAACACCACUACCACACGUGUAGCAAAAACCAGUUAUUCACCUAGGCAAAACCGUCAGUAUCUGGAAGAUGAAGGACGGCUCUCACAUCUCAGGCUGUUUGGUCUAUCUGCAGAACAGCUGCUUGGGUUGUUUCUUCAUCGGAUUCUUCCAUUUCUCCACUGACUGGUUUGCUCCUUUCAUCAUACAGUUUCUGGCUGGAAUCUUCGAGAGGCAUCCCAUACUCUUCAUCAUCCUCAACAAUGGACAGCUCGAUGUUGUUGUUUGUCAUGGCGCUGCUUUCCAUCCUGGCUUCUUUCUCCAAAGAAUCAAUGACCGCUUUGCUCUCCUCAGCCAGAGAUGUGGUGGGGGUCAUAUCUGAGUGCAUGUCAGCGAAGGACAUCUCCUCCUCAUUCUCAGCCUGGUCGGUGCUUACUGUAUCUGCUGGUCUGUCUUCAGCUUCAGCAGGGCUUUCUCCUUCACGAGAUUUCUUCACAGUGAACGUCAGUGGAACUUUGAAAGGUGAACUCUUGGAAGAGGAGGAUUUCUGAUGGUGCACUGUAAGGGAUUUCUUAAUCUUCUCUCUCCGUUCAGCUCAGCGAUAUGCUGGUGAAUAACUGCUCGCUAGUGGGAUGCAUUACCCUGCAGGAUAAAGAAAAGCAUCACCAACGGGAUGGCUGGAUGUGGUCUGGAUGCUCCCAUGGUUUGGGUGCAGUUGUACAGACAGUGCUUUUUCUGUGGUGGGAGCCCUGACAAAGCCAGCACCCUUCUCCAUCUGCUGCUGCAGCUCUCCUCGCAGUGACCACGACUACAGAAAGCACCUGCGCCAGCUGUAAGUGAGCGUAACUCUAACUGCAGUACAAAUAUUUGUAUUUUCUUCCUGCUGCAGAUAAUGAAAUGUGGAUUAUGUGAGUGGGUGCAGUUUUAAAUUACUCCCUAGAGCACGAGAACUCAGUAGAAAACAUAAUUUACUCGUCUUGUGCAUUCUUUCCAAACCUAGGUAAUUGCUUACGGUUUUAAACAACUCAGCAUUCAGCUGUGAGCUCCUGAAUGGCACAGAAAACUGAUUUCAACGAGUAUGGGUAGGCUGUAACUUUUGAUGUGUGACUCUAGGAGAGGGACAUCACACAGGCUGAGCCCAGAGCGGUUAGACCCAGAGGUGGACAGCAUGGCUGUCUUCAGUGACAGACUAUGGCCAUGUCAGGCUGAAGGACUGCUGAAAAUACAAGCGUGGAUUUAUUUCACCUUUUGUCAGAUUUGUGACUCAGGAGAAGGGAAACAGUCAACUUAUCCUUGUUCUUUUAAAAAUAAUUAAUAAAACCCAACCAAACCACUCUUUGUGUGCUAACGAGCCAAUGAUUCAAUUAAAAGCAGAUAAUAGGUGGUCUUUGGCAAUCAGAUAGUACUGGCAGUUAAGAAAUCACAUAUCUGUCUAAGUUUCCCAUAUGGCCUCGUGAACACCAGCCUCUGGGCACCUCUUACUCUGCUUGAAAAAUGGGAGUAGCAUGCUUUCCUAUCUCACAAGUGUAGAAGACCUUAUGAUUAUGAUAACCAUUAAAAUGCAC
Molecule: long non-coding RNA, 2121 nt
Filed under: Gallus gallus (chicken)
Lineage: Eukaryota; Metazoa; Chordata; Aves; Galliformes; Phasianidae
Source: RNAcentral